UACAGAGGGCUCAAGCGUUAAUCGGAAUCACUGGGCUUAAAGGGUCCGCAGGCGGACCGGUAAGUAUUUUGUGAAAGACCAUGGCUCAACCAUGGCAUUGCUUAAUAAACUACCGGUCUUGAGCAUAUUAGAGGUCAUCGGAACAGUAGGUGGAGCGGUGAAAUGCGUAGAUAUCUACUGGAACGCCAACGGAGAAGUCAGAUGACUGGGAUAUUGCUGACGCUCAGGGACGAAAGCGUGGGUAGCGAACGGG
Molecule: ribosomal RNA, 253 nt
Filed under: uncultured bacterium
Lineage: Bacteria
Description: partial 16S ribosomal RNA
Rfam family: Bacterial small subunit ribosomal RNA
Source: RNAcentral